Molecule: ribosomal RNA, 440 nt
Filed under: uncultured bacterium
Lineage: Bacteria
Description: partial 16S ribosomal RNA
Rfam family: Bacterial small subunit ribosomal RNA
Source: RNAcentral
CCUACGGGAGGCAGCAGUAGGGGAUAUUGGGCAAUGGGCGAAACCCUGAACCAGCAACGCCGCGUGAGGGAAGACGGUUUUCGGAUUGUAAACCUCUGUUCUCUGUGACGAUGCUGGUGGUAGCAGAUGAUGAAUCUCCGGCUAACUACGUGGCAGCAGCCGCGGUAGUACGUAGGGAGCGAGCGUUGUCCGGAUUUACUGGGUGUAAAGGGUGCGUAGGCGGCUGGGCAAGUCAGUAGUGAAAUCCAUGGGCUUAACCCAUGGACUGCUAUUGAAACUGUCGAGCUUGAGUGAAGGAGAGGUAGGCGGAAUUCCCGGUGUAGCGGUGAAAUGCGUAGAGAUAGGGAGGAACACCAGUGGCGAAGGCGGCCUACUGGGCAUUAACUGACGCUGAGGCACGAAAGCGUGGGUAGCAAACAGGAUUAGAUACCCUAGUAGUC